RNAcentral lists this ribosomal RNA (257 nucleotides) under uncultured bacterium. RNAcentral's name for it is "partial 16S ribosomal RNA". It matches the Rfam family "Bacterial small subunit ribosomal RNA", at positions 524 to 776 of the family's 1533-position model. The record is from RNAcentral.
CACGUAGGGUGCGAGCGUUUGUCCGGAAUUAUUGGGCGUAAAGAGCUCGUAGGCGGUGUGUCGCGUCGGCCGUGAAAACCUGCAGCUUAACUGUGGGCUUGCGGUCGAUACGGGGCAUCACUGGAGUUCGGCAGGGGAGACUGGAAUUCCUGGUGUAGCGGUGAAAUGCGCAGAUAUCAGGAGGAACACCGGUGGCGAAGGCGGGUCUCUGGGCAAUGAACUGACGCUGAGGAGCGAAAGCGUGGGGAGCGAACAGG